AAUACCGACGAUCCAAAUUGUUAAUGAUUAUUGUUGUCGAUUUCUUCUACCGGCAUCUAUUUCUGGUGAAGUGUGCAUCUUAUUAAAAUUGUACAAUACGCGCGCGCGUGUGUGUGGGUGUACGUCAAACUGCCGGGGCAUAUAAGUGAGGUUACGUGCAGCCGUAACCGUAUGAUUGCACAAAGCACAUAGCAAUAGUUAGAAGCAAUAAUUUCUCGCAAGCUAGAACACAAAUUCUUGAUGUAAAAUAUCUUAAAACGAUUUUGUGAUUUAUGAUUAGUUCGAGUGAGACAGGCGUGUUUGUUCGUUCAUCGCGUGACGGGCAAAAUUGCAUCAUCAUUAACCUUAUAAGAAGUGGAUCGAAUCUGAAGAUCAAGCAAUAAAGACAACAGUUCAAACAGCAUUUGCUUCCGUGCGGCCCAAAUCGUGGUACCAUCAUUCACCUCGGCCAAGAAGAAUCGGUGAAAACUAUUAUGGGGUCCCGCUCUUCGGACAAAACAUCCCCAAUGCAGGCGUCGGAUGCACCGACAACUCCUCCCCCAGGACCAGCAGCUGUUCCGGUAAUGCCGAACGCCCCGGGUGACGCUUCCAAAGGGCCGACGUCAGCCAUGCAGGCUCCUACAGGUACUGCUGCCACAACCCCGCUUGUGUCAGCAUUGCAGCAGACGGCUCAAAAAGAUGCUAUAGAGCAACCGGCCUCGAGUGAGUCAUCACAAGAACAAACUCUUCAACGAUCUGCUCAGAGUGCAGCAGGAAUGCAGCAGGCAGCUCGAGCAGAUGAUGCUCCGGUAAACAACUUUUCCUUUUCACCUUCCAUAACUAUAGACAAUUUUUCGAUAUCGUUGAUAAUCGUCCCUCCUCUACGGGGAUUACGCCGCGCAGGACAAUGGUGUUCAUCAAUGAAAAAUGCGUUUUUAAGAGCAUUUAAUAGACGAUAAUGACGGUCGUAAAUAAUCAGGACACGGUGCGAUGGUGCAAUUUCCAACACAACCAUGAGCUAAAAACAUUUGGAUCAGGAAAUUAUUUUUUUUUUUCGAAUUAUUUGUAAUCGAAAUUAAACUAGUUCAAAAGUUUAUAGUGUAAGGGCAAUAAAGUGGCAACAAAAGGAGACUUCCACCCUUCUAAAAGGAGGUUUCCCUGUAGUUGUCCACUUUUCGAUAGGGGUGAAAGGCAGGCAAUAUUGACGAGAGUGUAAUGAUAGGAGAAUUAACAUAGACAUACUUAAAAGUAUAUGAAAGGCUCGUGAUAAGAUCAUCUUAAAGGUCAAAAGGCUAGUGAUAGGAUAACUAGUAGAUUGGAGAGUCUAAAUUAUCAAAAAGGGUAGUCAUAAGAGAGUUAGGAAUAAGUUAGUUUAAGAAAUCUGUUCUAAAACUAGUCAUGAAUUCCAAAGAGGAACAGCUUUUAACCACUUUCUUCCAGCUUCGCGCGUGGGAUCUCAACUGAUUGCUAUUUCUACGUUUAUAACCAACACAAUUCUUUGACAAAAUAUCUUUCCUAACCAUUUCGUAGGAAGGCAUAUUUGUAAAUUCAAUGUUUCAUUCAUGUUUAGGUAUUUUUUCUCUUUGACUUAAUAUCAGUAUUGCUUUUUUAUUAUUUAGCAAAGCAGAGCUAUCCCCUCAUGUCCGGCGGUUCGCUGAAGAUCACUUUCACAAAUGGAAUAUGUGCCCGACAUCACCAUGCCCAUGGAUGAGCAGAUUGCGAAACAUCGUCUGGAGAAUAGAUGGCAGCAUAAAUGGCUUUUAUUAUUUAACUAAUAAAGACUGACUAAACCCUCUGUCCCUAGCGUGUAGGCCGGCAUCGCAUGGAUCGAGCUUAUGGUAUACAAAGUUGAUGAAUUGGCUGCCAUCAUCACGACACCGUAUGCGCUACAGAGAAAAUGUGAAAACAUAUCUUCCAUGAAAACCAACAAAGUUGUCGCCGGCUGGUUGUACAUGACUGCGGGAACCAGAUUAUGCCAACGAUUUUGACGGGAAAGUUUAAAGCAAUGUGGUGAAAUUGGCCAACAUAGCCCGAUAAAAUCUGGCUGCAUUCUUCUUCAUCGACCACCCCGCAACGUCGGCAAUACUACUUCGGAACUCUGUAACGUUAGUACCAGCCAACAACAUACCUUGUAAUUCAACAAGAAGAGCUUAGGCAGGAUUUGCUAUCCAAGCUACUCGAAGUCUCAUCAUAGAUGUGUCCCAGCUAGAACGAAGAAGACUGUUACUACAAUUGAUGUGAUAUUCAAUAUAAGACCGAACGCAACUACUCAAAAUAUUGAAAAUAUACGAAAAGAUCCAUCAUAUUAGUGUGUGAA
Molecule: long non-coding RNA, 2296 nt
Organism: Anopheles arabiensis
Lineage: Eukaryota; Metazoa; Arthropoda; Insecta; Diptera; Culicidae
Exons: 5
Source: RefSeq, a predicted model, not a curated record